ACAUGUCAGGAUCAUGUAAGUAUCAUGGUCAGUAACAUGUUAGUAACAUGUCAUGGUCAUGGUCAGUAUCAUGGAUAGUAUCAUGUUAGUAUCAUGUUAAGUAUCAUGGUUAGUAUCAUGUCAUUAUCAUGGUUUGUAUCAUGUUAGUUUCAUGGUCAGUUACAUGUUUGUAUAAAAUCAGUAUUAUAAUUAACAUCUUGCUACUAUCAUGGUCAGUAACAUUUCAGUUUCAUGGCCAGAAUCAUGUUUGUAUCAUGGUCACUAACAUGUAAGUAUCAUAUCAGUUUUAUGGUUAGUAUCAUGUUAGUGUCAUAGUCAGUAACAUGUCAGUAUAGUGGUAAGUAUCAUGUCAGUGUCGUGGUCUGUAUUAUUGUCCUUAUCAUGUUCAGUGUCAUGGUCAUUAACAUGUCAGUAUUAUAUCAGUAUUAGGGUUAGUAUCAUAUAAGUAACAUGUCAGUAUCAUGUCAGUAUCAUGGUUAGUAUCAUGUUAGCAUCAUGGUCAGUAUCAUUUUAGUAUCAUGGACAGUAUCAUGGUUUGUAUCAUGGUCAGAAACAUGUCUGUAUCAUAUCAGUAUUAUGGUUAGUAUCAUGUCAGUGUAGUGGUCUGUAUCAUUGUCCUUAUCAUGGUCAGCAUCAUUUCAGUGUCAUGGUCAGUAACAUGUCAGUAUUAUGUCAGUAUAAGGGUUGGCAUCAUGUGAGUAUCAUGGUCAGAAACAUGUCAGUAACAUGUCAGUAUCAAGGUGAGUAUCAUGUUAGUGUCGUGGUCUGAAUCAUUGUCCUUAUCAUGGUCAGUAUUAUGGUCAGUAACAUGUCAGUAUUAUAUCAGUAUUAUGGUUAGUAUCACGUCAGUGUCGUGGUCAGUAUCAUUGUCCUUAUCAUGGUCAGUAUCAUGCCAGUGUCAUGGUCAGUAACAUGUGAUUAUCAUAUCAGUACUAUGGUUAGUAUCAUGUUAGUGUCAUGGUCAGUAACAAGUCAGUAUCAUAUCAGAAUCAUGGUUAUUAUCAUGUUAGUGUCAUGGUCAGUAACAUGUCAGUAUCAUGGUCAGUAUCAUGUCAGUGUCGUGGUCAGUAUCAUUGUCCUUAUCAUGGUAAGUAUCAUGUUAGUAUCAUGAUCAGGGACAAGUCAGUGUCGUGGUCAGUAUCAUUGUCCUUAUCAUGGUAAGUAUCAUGUUAGUAUCAUGAUCAGGGACAAGUCAGUGUCAUGGUCAGUAUCAUGUUAGUAUCAUGGUCAGAAACAUGUCACUAUCAUGGUCAGUAUCGUGUUAGUAUCAUGUUCAGUAUAAUGGUUAGUAUCAUGUCAUUAUCAUGGUUUGUAUCAUAUUAGUUUCAUGGUCAGUUACAUGUUAGUAUCAUGGUCAGUACAAUGUCAGUGUCGUGGUCAGUUUCAUUGUCCUUAUCAUGGUAAGUAUCAUGUUAGUAUCAUGAUCAGUAACAUGCCAGUGUCAUAGUCAGUAACAUGUCAGCAUCAUAUCAGUAUCAUGGUUAGUAUCAUGUUAGUGUCGUGGUCUGAAUCAUUGUCCUUAUCAUGGUCAGUGUCAUAUCAGUGUCAUGGUCAGUAACAUGUCAGUAUCAUUGUCAGUAUCAUGGUUAGUAUCAUGUCAGUGUCGUGGUCAGUAUCAUGUCCUUAUCGUGGUCAGUAUCAUGUCAGUGUGAUGGUCAGUAACAUGUCAGUGUCAUGGUCAGUAUCAUGUUAGUAUCAUGGACAGUAUCAUGGUUUGUAUCAUGGUCAGAAACAUGUCUGUAUCAUAUCAGUAUUGUGGUUAGUAUCAUGUAAGUAUCAUGGUCAGAAACAUGUCAGUAACAUGUCAGUAUCAUGGCCAGUAUCAUGUCAGUGUCGUGGUCUGUAUCAUUGUCCUGAUCAUGGUCAGUAUCAUGACAGUGUCAUGGUCAGUACCAUGUCAGUAUUAUAUCAGUAUUAUGGUCAGUAUCAUGUUAGUAUCAUGGUCAGUAACAUGUCAGGAUCAUUUAAGUAUCAUGUUUAGUAUCAUGUCAGUAACAUGUCAGUAUCAUGUUCGUAAAUACAUCUACUAUGCGAUUCUAAUCCAUUUCUUAAUGGAUAAAGCCUUGGCCCGGAUAAGAGGUCAUCAGGUGGUCCCCAACCAUCAUGGGGUGUUUCGACCCUUAACCACAACACCCUCAAGUUGGCGGGUCCGCAGUGACUGGCCAGGUCACUGCGCCUCUCAUCCAGGCUUCCAGCUAUUGUCCUCUCUCUUAUGCCAGAGCCAACAGGAGGCUCUCUCUGCCGCUUCUCCCAGCCUACGAACGGCUGUUUUCCUCAAGUGGCCUCUCAGUCCCACCUUAGUCAGGAGAUUCCACACUGACUGUGCUGGAAAACCUCGACAUCCUACUUCCACUGUCAUCAGCCAUGUUGUCCACCCCUUUUCUCGGCAGUCCUCGACAAGCUGCUGGUACUUGGUCUUCUUUCUCUCUGCCGCUUCCUCGCAUCCCUCCUCCCACGGGACCGUUAGUUCCACCAGGAUGAUCUUCUUUCCCUCUGGAGACCACAUAACUAUAUCUGGUCUCAGAGUGGUGGACAGUACCGCUUCUGGGAAGUGGAGCUUCCUCCCCAGGUCGACCUCCAUCUCCCAUCCUUGGACCGACUGCAGGAGGUUUUGCUUGGUUUGGCCUUGGACGACAGGUCUGUUGCCCUCUUUUACGAAGGCGAUGUUACUCAGCUGUGGUCUUCUCUUGGCCGGAUAUUUCUUUCUCCUCUCUUGCUCCAAGAUGACUGCGAGCAGUGCCAACACCUUGUCAUGGCGCCACCUAUAUCUCCCCUGGGUCAAUGCUGUUUUGCACCCUGAAAGAAUGUGCGCCAUGGUUCCUUUACCGCCACACAACCCACACAGAGGGUCUUCCCUCAUUCCCCACCUGUGCAGAUUGACUGGGGUCGGUAAGGUGUCGUACACUGCUCGGAGCAGAAACGAGAUCCGAAAAGGCUCCAGCCUCCAGAGUUCACUCCACGUGAUGGUCCUCUUGGGAAGGUCCCACCUUGUCCAGGCACCUUGAGAUGCGAGCUCGAUGGCUUUAGCUCUUCUUCCUUCCUCCUCAAGGUUUCGAACUUCGUCCUGGAUCAUGGUCCUCCUCUCCCGGGGAGUGGACUUUGACCACUGCUGGAAGUGUGAAGUUCCUAAGCCCUGUCUUCCAGUGCAGGGGUUACCAAUGGUUUCCUUGGUCCUGAGAGAAGCUUCUGCCUGGUGAACUGCGGUGCUGGUGGCCCACUUCCUGCCGGAUCUUGUUCGGAUUCCAGCUUCCCUGAUGAGUUGGUCUUGGGAGUCCCUAUAUGUCAGGGAAAGCCUGCACUUGGCGACUUUAAACUCCUCCACAACAGAGGACAGGGGGAGCUGGAGCUGACCCGACCUUAUGUAGAGCCCCACAGAUGUAAAGCUUGGGGGUAUUCCCAACCAUCUACGAAGGUGCUUGUUGAAUCUUCGCUCCAUCCCUUCAACUGAUGUUAAAGGCACUGUUAAAGGAAUAGUAUCACGUUAGUAUCUUGUUCAGUAUCAUGGUUAGUAUCAUGUCAUUAUCAUGGUUUGUAACAUGUAAGUUUCAUGGUCAGUUACAUGUAAGUAUCAAAUCAGUAUUAUGGUUAGCAUCAUUUUAGUAUCAGGGUCAGUAACAUGUCAGUAACAUGUCAGUAUCAUGUUAGUAUCAUGGUCAGAAAAAUGUCAGAAUUAUGGUCAUGGUUAGUAUCAUGUCAGAUUGGUGGUCAAUAUCAUUGUCAGGAUCAUGGUCAGUAUCAUGUUAGUAUCAUGGUCAGUAACAUGUUAGUGUCAUAGUCAGUAACAUGGUUUGUAUCAUGGUCUGAAACAUGUCUGUAACAUGUCAGUGUCAUGGUCAGUAUAAUGAUUUAGUCCAUGCCAGUAUCAUGGUCAGUAACAUUCCAGUAUAGUGGUUAGUAUCAUGUCAGUGUCGUGGUCAGUAUCAUGUCCUUAUCGUGGUCGGUGUCAUGUUAGUGUCAUGGUCAGUAACAUGUCAGUAUCAUAUCAGUAUUAUGGUUAGUAUCAUGUUAGUGUCAUGGUCAGUAACAUGUCAGUAUCAUGGUCAGUAUCAUGGUCAGAAACAUGUCAGUAUCAUGUUAAGUAUCAUGUCAGUUUCGUGGUCAGUCUCACUGUCAGGAUCUUGGUCAGUAUCAUGUUAGCAUCACAUUCAGACACAUGUCAGUAUCAUGGUUAGUAUCAUGUUAGGAUCAUGGUCAGUAUCAUGUUAGUAUCAUGGUCAGUUUCAUGUUAGUAUCAUGGACAGUAUCAUUGUUUGUAUCAUGGUCUGAAACAUGUCUGUAUCAUAUCAGAAUUAUGGUUAGUAUCAUGUCAGUGUCAUGGUCAGUAACAUAUUAGUAUCAUAUCAGUAAUAUGGUUAGUAUCAUGGUCAGUAUCAUGGUUAGCAUCAUGUAAGUUUCGUGGUCAGUAUCACUGUCAAGAUCUUGGUCAGUAUCAUGUUAGUAUCAUGGUCAGACACAUGUCAGUAUCAUGGUUAGUAUCAUGGACAGUAUCAUGGUUUGUAUCAUGGUCUGAAACAUGUCUGUAUCGUUAAGAAUUAUGGUUAGUAUCAUCUAUGUAUCAUGGUCAGUAACGUGUCAGUAACAUGUCAGUUUCAUGGUCAGUAUAAUGAUUUAGUCCAUGCCAGUAUCAUGGUCAGUGUCAUGUUAGUAUCAUGGUCAGUAACAUUUCACUAUCAUGGUCAGUAUCAUGUUAGUAUCAUGUUUAGUUUCAUGGUUAGUAUCAUGUCAUUAUCAUGGUUUGUAUCAUAUUAGUUUCAUGGUCAGUUACAUGUUGGUAUAAAAUCAAUAUGAUGGUAAGCAUCAUGUUAGUAUCAUGGUCAGUAACAUGUCAGUACCAUGGCCAGAAUCAUGUUAGUAUAAUGGUCAGAAACAUAUCAGUAUUAUGGUUAGUAUCAUGGUUUUUAUUACGUCAGUAUCAUGGUCAGUAUCAUGGUCAGUAACAUGGCAGUAUCAAGUCAGUAUCAUGACUACUAUCAUGUUAGUAUCAUGGUCAGUAACAUGUCAGGAUCAUGUAAGUAUCAUGGUCAGUAACAUGUAAGUAUCAUAUCAGUAUUAUGGUAAGUAUCAUGUUAGUAUCCUGAAUAGAAACAUGUCAGUAUCAUGGUUUGUAUCAUGUUAGUUUCAUGGUCAGUUACAUGUUUGUAUUAAAUCAGUAUUAUGGUUAACAUCAUGCUAGUAUCAUGGUCAGUAACAUUUUAGUAUCAUGGCCACUAUCAUGUUAGGAUCAUGGUCAGAAACAUGUCAGUAUCAUGGUCAGUAUCAUGUUAAGUAUCAUGUCAGUGUCGUGGUCAGUAUCAUGUCCUUAUCGUGGUCAGUAUCAUGUCAGUGUCAUGGUCAGUAACAUGUCAGUAUCAUAUCAGUAUUAUGGUUGGUAUCAUGUAAGUAUCAUGGUCAGUAACAUGUAAGUAUCAUAUCAGUAUUAUGGUAAGUAUCAUGUUAGUAUCCUGAAUAGAAACAUGUCAGUAUCAUGGUUUGUAUCAUGUUAGUUUCAUGGUCAGUUACAUGUUUGUAUUAAAUCAGUAUUAUGGUUAACAUCAUGCUAGUAUCAUGGUAAGUAACAUUUUAGUAUCAUGGCCAGUAUCAUGUUAGGAUCAUGGUCAGUAACAUGUCAGUAUCAUGGUCAGUAUCAUGUUUAGUAUCAUGUAAGUGUCGUGGUCAGUAUCAUAUCCUUAUCGUGGUCAGUAUCAUGUCAGUGUCAUGGUCAGUAACAUGUCAGUAUCAUAUCAGUAUUAUGGUUAGUAUCAUGUAAGUUUCAUGGUCAGUAACAUGUCAGUAUCAUGGUCAGUAUCAUGUUAGUAUCAUGGUCAGAAACAUGUCUGUAUCAUGGUCAGUAUCAUGGUUAGUAUAAUGUCAGGAUCUUGGUCAGUAUCAUGUUAGCAUCAUGGUCAGACACAUGUCAGUAUCAUGGUUAGUAUCAUGUUAGUAUCAUGGUCAGUAUCAUGUUAGUAUCAUGGACAGUAUUAUGGUUUGUAUCAUGGUCCGAAACAUGUCUGUAUCAUAUCAGAAUUAUGGUUAGUAUCAUGUAUGUAUCAUGGUCGGCAACGUGUCAGUAACAUGUCAGUUUCAUGGUCAGUAUAAUGAUUUAGUCCAUGCCAGUAUCAUGGUCAGUAUCAUGUUAGUAUCAUGGUCAGUAACAUGUCAGUGUCGUGGUCAGUAUCAUGUCCUUAUCGUGGUCAGUAUCAUGUCAGUGUCAUGGUCAAUAACAUGUCAGUAUCAUAUCAGUAUUAUGGUUAGUAUCAUGCCAGUGACAUGGUCAGUAACAUGCCAGUAUUAUAUCAGUAUUAUGGUAAGUAUCAUGAUAGUAUCAUGGUCAGUAACAUUUCAGUAUCAUGGCCAGUAUCAUGUCAGUAUAAUGGUCAGUAACAUGUCAGUGUCAUGGUCAGUAAAAUGAUUUGGUCCAUGCCAGUAUCUUGGUCAGUAUCAUGUUAGUAUCAUGGUCAGUAACAUGUAAGUAUCAUUUGUCAGUAUCAUGUUUAGUAUCAUGUCAGUGUCAUGGUCAGUAUCAUGUCCUUAUCGUGGUCAGUAUCAUGUCAGUGUCAUGGUCAGUAACAUGUCAGUAUCAUAUCAGUAUUAUGGUUAGUAUCAUGUCAGUAUAAUGGUUAGUAUCAUGUUAGUAUCAUGGUCAGUAACAUUUCACCAUCAUGGUCAGUAUCAUGUUAGUAUCAUGUUCAGUAUCAUGGUUAGUAUCAUGUCAUUAUCAUGGUUUGUAUCAUGUUAGUUUCAUGGUCAGUUACAUUUUAGUAUCAAAUCAAUAUGAUGGUAAGCAUCAUGUUAGUAUCAUGGUCAGUAACUUGGCAGUAUCAUGGCCAGUAUCAUGAUUUGUAUCAUGGUCAGUAACAUGUCAGUAUCAUGGUCAGUAUCAUGUUUAGUAUCAUGUAAGAAUCAUGGUCAGAAACAUGUCAGUAACAUGCCAGUAUCAUAGUUAGUAUCAUGUCAGUGUCGUGGUCAGUAUCAUGUCCUUAUCGUGGUCAGUAUCAUGUCAGUGUCAUGGUCAGUAACAUGUCAGUAUGAUAUCAGUAUUAUGGUUAGUAUCAUGUUAGUCUCAUGGUCAGUAACAUGCCAGUAUUAUAUCAGUAUUAUGGUUAGUAUCAUGUUAGUAUCAUGGUCAGUUACAUGUCAGGAUCAUGUAAGUAUCAUGUUUAGUAUCAUGUCAGAAACCUGUCAGUAUCAUGGUCAUUAUCAUGAAUAGUAUCAUGUUAGUAUCAUGUUCUGUAUCAUGGUUAGUAUCAUGUCAUUAUAAUGGUUUGUAACAUGUUAGUUUCAUGGACAGUAUCAUGGUCUGUAUUAUGGUCUGAAACAUGUCUGUAACAUGUCAGUGUCAUGGUCAGUAUAAUGAUUUAGUCCAUGCCAGUAUCAUGGUCAGUAUCAUGUUUGUAUCAUGGUCAGUAACAUGCCAGUAUCAUAGUUAGUAUCAUGUCAGUGUCGUGGUCAGUAUCAUGUCCUUAUCGUGGUCAGUAUCAUGUUAGUGUCAUGGUCAGUAACAUGCCAGUAUCAUGGUUAGUAUCAUGUUAGUAUCAUGGUUAGUAUCAUGUCAGUGUCGUGGUCAGUAUCAUAUCAGUGUCUUGGUCAGUAACAUGUCAGUAUGAUAUCAGUAUUAUGGUUAGUAUCAUGUUAGUAUCAUGGUCAGUAAUACGUCAGUAUCAUGGUCAGUAUCAUGUUAGUGUCAUGGUC
Molecule: non-coding RNA, 7668 nt
Organism: Xyrichtys novacula (pearly razorfish)
Lineage: Eukaryota; Metazoa; Chordata; Actinopteri; Labriformes; Labridae
Source: the annotation of a GenBank genome assembly